RNAcentral lists this Y RNA (111 nucleotides) under Propithecus coquereli (Coquerel's sifaka). RNAcentral describes it as "Y RNA (ENSPCOG00000010734.1)". It matches the Rfam family "Y RNA". From Rfam's summary of the family: Y RNAs are components of the Ro ribonucleoprotein particle (Ro RNP), in association with Ro60 and La proteins. Lineage: Eukaryota; Metazoa; Chordata; Mammalia; Primates; Indriidae. The record is from Rfam by way of RNAcentral.
GGCUGGUCUGAAGGUAGUGAGUUAUCUCAAUUGAUUGUUCACAGUCAGUUACAGAUUGAACUUGUUCUGCUACUUUCCCCCCUCCUCACUACUGCACUUGACUAGUCUUAA